CGCGUAGGCGGGAGAACAAGCCAGAUGUGAAAUGUGGGGGCUUAACCCUCAAGCUGCAUUUGAAACUGUACUUCUUGAGUAUCGGAGAGGCAGGCGGAAUUCCUAGUGUAGCGGUGAAAUGCGUAGAUAUUAGGAGGAACACCAGUGGCGAAGGCGGCCUGCUGGACGACAACUGACGCUGAGGCGCGAAAGCGUGGGGAGCAAACA
This is a ribosomal RNA of 207 nucleotides. It matches the Rfam family "Bacterial small subunit ribosomal RNA", at positions 568 to 774 of the family's 1533-position model.